UACGGAGGGUGCAAGCGUUAUCCGGAUUCACUGGGGUUAAAGGGUGCGUAGGUGGUUUUGUAAGUCAGUGGUGAAAGCCCGGAGCUCAACUCCGGAACUGCCAUUGAUACUGCUUAACUUGAAUCAACUUGAGGUGGAUGGAAUAUUACAUGUAGCGGUGAAAUGCUUAGAGAUGUAAUAGAACACCAAUUGCGAAGGCAGUUCACUAAGGUUGUAUUGACACUGAGGCACGAAAGCGUGGGGAUCAAACAGG
Molecule: ribosomal RNA, 253 nt
Filed under: uncultured bacterium
Lineage: Bacteria
Description: partial 16S ribosomal RNA
Rfam family: Bacterial small subunit ribosomal RNA
Source: RNAcentral